Molecule: ribosomal RNA, 497 nt
Filed under: uncultured bacterium
Lineage: Bacteria
Description: partial 16S ribosomal RNA
Rfam family: Bacterial small subunit ribosomal RNA
Source: RNAcentral
GAUGAACGCUGGCGGCGUGCCUAAUACAUGCAAGUCGAGCGAACAGACGAGUUCCUUGCUCCUCUGACUUUAGCGCCGGUCGGUUGCGUAACACUUGGAUAACUUACCUAUAAGACUGGGUUAUCUUCGGGAAACCGGAUCUAAUACCGGAUAAUAUUUUGAACCGCAUGGUUCAUUAGUGAAAGCCUGUUUUGCUGUCCUUUAUCUUUGGGUCCGCCCCGCAUUAGCUAGUUGGUAUGGUAACGGCUUACCAAGGCAACGAUGCGUAGCCGACCUGAGAGAGUGAUCGGCCACACUGGAACUGGAACACGGGCAAGACUCCUACGGGAGGCAGAAGUAGGAAAUCUUCCGAAAGGGGCGAAAGCUUGACGGAGAAACGCCGCGUGAGGGAUGAAGGUCUUCGGAUCUAAAAACUCUGUUAUUAGGGAAGAACAAAUGUGUAAGUAACUAUGCACGACGUGACGGUACCUAAUCAGAAAGCCACGGCUAACUACGUG